GAGUUUGAUCCUGGCUCAGAGCGAACGUUAGCGGCGCGCCUAACACAUGCAAGUCGCACGAGAAGGGGGCAACCCCUGAAAGUGGCGCACGGGUGCGUAACACGUAGAUAACCUGCCCUUCGUUGGGGGAUAACGUUCCGAAAGGAGCGCUAAUACCGCAUACAGCAUCUGGGGGUUUGCUUCUGGAUGGCAAAGGCUGGGACCCGCAAGGGCCAGUCGACGAAGGAGGGGUCUGCGGCCCAUCAGCUAGUUGGCGAGGUAAUGGCUCACCAAGGCAAAGACGGGUAGCUGGUCUGAGAGGAUGAUCAGCCACACUGGUACUGGAACACGGACCAGACUCCUACGGGAGGCAGCAGUGGGGAAUCUUGGUCAAUGGGCGAAAGCCUGAACCAGCGACGCCGCGUGAGUGAUGAAGGCCUUCGGUUGUAAGCUCUGUGGGCGAGACGAAAGCCUACGUUCUAACAGACGUAGUUUGACGGUAUCGCCUUAGCAAGCACCGGCUAACUCUGUGCCA
Molecule: ribosomal RNA, 514 nt
Filed under: uncultured delta proteobacterium
Lineage: Bacteria; Deltaproteobacteria
Description: bacterial SSU rRNA
Rfam family: Bacterial small subunit ribosomal RNA
Source: RNAcentral